Molecule: long non-coding RNA, 984 nt
Organism: Gasterosteus aculeatus aculeatus (three-spined stickleback)
Lineage: Eukaryota; Metazoa; Chordata; Actinopteri; Perciformes; Gasterosteidae
Source: Ensembl
AGCGGUCGGAGAUACUGCCAACCACACAACCAGACACCACACGCGUACGCACACUGGGCCUGUGUGACUUGUGCGCUGCUCCACUCGUGUGUGUUAAUUCGCUCCCCAUGAGGCGCUGCAGGCUGUGGUAAUUAUAGAAGCUCGGCUAGCAGACUCAUCACAAGAGAGAAGUACAUUUAAAGCCACGUGCAGCUGCGCGAAUACAAAGGAGCCGACAAAACGGAUGGGGGGGGGGGUCACCGGGAGAUGGAGUAGAUGCCUGUAUACUUUCUUAAAGAAAGCUGAAGCUGGGUUUAUGGGCGUUAGGUGGUCCGAUGCAGACGUGAGGCCCGGUGGGACAAGCUGCGGGCCGUGGAGAGCUUCAAGGAGCGGCGCUCGGACGACGGCGUUACAGAAAUGUCACUCAGAAGGAGGAGGCGGGGAGGAGGAGGCCAGAGGCAGCAUGGGAGGAGGGAGAAGAAGGGGGGGGGGGCAGGACAUUCAUGUUAUCGACUCAACAUUUGUUCUUUGAAUUUUUAACGGCUGUGCUACAGGCUGCGCAGCGCACGGGCCCAUGUCACGUCUAUUUUUAAAGCGUUCACUGUAAACCCCCUUUUCUUUUAUCACACUUUUGUUGUAUAAUUCAUUUGUUAUUUCAUUUGUUCAGUGGGGUGGAGGAAUGCUGCCUAAUGCUUUUGUCAAUAGAACAAAUGUGUGAAAAAUGCCUUAUAGCCAUCUUCCACAAUCCAUGUGAAAGCAAUAAAAAAAAAAGCAGCAAUUAAUGGCUCCAGAGCUUGUUACGGUGAAUUAAAGUGCACGUGGUGCCCUGUGUGCCACGCUGUGGGUCGCACCGUCUAAUGGUGACUUGAAAAUUGCAUUUGAAGGAAAACAUUGAGCAACACUGAGCCCACAACAGACAUUAUGGGUUGAAGGUUGAAUUUUCUAAAAUCAAUACAAAGAAAGACUCUGUUUCAAUGUACAAAGACAUCAAUAAAUUGAGUUAAC